This 576-nucleotide ribosomal RNA is filed under the name uncultured fungus. RNAcentral describes it as "eukaryotic LSU rRNA". The stretch from base 226 to 379 matches the Rfam family "5.8S ribosomal RNA". The record is from RNAcentral. Lineage: Eukaryota; Fungi.
AGAGGAAGUAAAAGUCGUAACAAGGUCUCCGUAGGUGAACCUGCGGAGGGAUCAUUACCGAGUUCAUGCCCUUACGGGUAGACCUCCCACCCUAUGUUAUAUUACCUUUGUUGCUUUGGCGGGCCGCCCGGCUUCGGCCAGGCUACCGGCUCCAGCUGGUAAGCGCUCGCCAGAGGACCCUCAACUCUGAAUAUCAGUGUCGUCUGAGUACUAUAAAAUAGUUAAAACUUUCAACAACGGAUCUCUUGGUUCUGGCAUCGAUGAAGAACGCAGCGAAAUGCGAUAAGUAAUGUGAAUUGCAGAAUUCAGUGAAUCAUCGAAUCUUUGAACGCACAUUGCGCCCCUUGGUAUUCCGAGGGGCAUGCCUGUUCGAGCGUCAUUACAACCCUCAAGCACUGCUUGGUAUUGGGCUCCGCUGGCUCCAGCGGGCCUUAAAAUCAGUGGCGGCGCCGUUUGGGCUCUGAGCGUAGUAAAUAUCCUCGCUAUAGAGACCAGGCGAUUCUUGUCAUCAACCCCCAACUUUCUAAGUUUGACCUCGGAUCAGGUAGGGAUACCCGCUGAACUUAAGCAUAUCAA